Molecule: long non-coding RNA, 1697 nt
Organism: Rhineura floridana
Lineage: Eukaryota; Metazoa; Chordata; Lepidosauria; Squamata; Rhineuridae
Exons: 3
Source: RefSeq, a predicted model, not a curated record
ACCAGUCCUACGCAUCUUAAGUAAAGGCGUGUGCAGUACAGAACAAAUACAAUUAAAUAAAAAGGAGAGGAGCAUCUGAAAGGAGUGGACAAACUUCCAGGAGGGCGGGUGUAAAUGAGCGUGAAAAAUACAUCUAGGAAGACGAUAAUCGAAGGGGGGGGAUACGGCUUCUACUUGCAGCUUGGCAGUGGCCCACUAUCUCCACCACGCUUUUUUUUUUUUAAAAAGAUCAAUUAUGUUGAUGGCGAAGUUUUCGAAGCUGACUACACCCGUUUUCCACUACACUGCGCCCUACCCGGUUUAAAAAGAAAAAUAAGAAGAGAAAGAGCACAAUGUGUUUCUUGUUAUGCAGCCUGGCUUUUUCCUUUUUUUCCUGUAUGGGUUACAUCGUAAUAUUAAGCUAUGGGCAAUGCGAGGCGAACAACGACAAGCCGUUUGAAAGUCCUUGGUUGUGGUCGGAGGGAGUUCACCCGGCACAUUGCAACCCUCGGUGUCAAAGCAUAUUUACAGCGCAAAUCCUAUAUAAUAUGUACAUGGCAUGUCUACUCAGAAGGAAACCCCACUGAUUUCAAUAAGGCUUAGGACUCCAUACAAGGAUUAACCACUUUGUCCAAUGCAGUUUAAGGUACCAAGAGGACAUCUACAAAUAACUUGCUAAGGCAGAAACUAUCAAGCAUUGAAAUUGAGUAGUAAGAUACCGAUAGAGAGGUUUCACAAGCCAUACAAUCUACUUUAAAUUUAAGCUGCAGUGAGAAUAAACCCCACUGAAUACACUGGGACUGACUUUUGAGUAAACAUGCAUAGCAUUGUACUACAUGUUACAACUGGAAGAUGUAACAUAUACUCUGCCUGUGUCUGGAUUCAUGGCAAACCUAUUCACAUAAUCAAGAUUACAGUGUAUCUGUUUGAAAAAUGCUGUAAAAAUGCCAAAUAUUUGAUCCCCAAUAUUUGGAAAGGGGCUGCUUUCACAAACAUACACUACUAGAGUUUUUGGAGAACAUCCAUUAAAAUCACUAAUGCACACAUAGAGUUUCUCAAUCAAAUAUGAUUUAAUAUUACAGCAAUUUAAAACGGAAUAGAAAAUGCUAGAGGACAUAGUCCAUUGCUAGCCUCAAGUGCAGUAACACUUCAAAAGUAUUUAUGGUAAUACGUUGCUUACCAAGAUUAAUACAAAAGUCAUUGAGUAAAUUUGGUAGUGGAAAUGGUAAAUGUAUAACAAAUACUUUUUAUCACAUGGUGGCCAUCCACAACAAAGCUUCUGUUGCAUUGAUUUCAGUGGGAGAGAUUUAAGCAUGCACUUAAUAUUCCCCUUUAAAUAAACAUAAACCUGAAACUUCAGCUGGCUCGUGCCCAAAGUAUUAGUACAUGUUCAUGGGCCAAUUUGCUAUUGCUUUAACAAUGCUGUCUGUCUGCCUUUUAAGUUGCCGUCCUAUGUAUUUCAAAGCGACUGCAAUAUAUCCUGUCAGCCUGCAUGCUACCUAUGAAAGUCUGUGUUUCUGAUUUAAGUUUUUUCCCCUGAGCAUAUAAUGACAAACUGCAGUAAUAAAAGGCUGUUCUAUUUGCAUAUAGUCUAGUCCAAAAUAAAAACCAUGAAGUAAUGAAGCCUAACUUAGCCAGAAAAAUAUAUAUCAGAAGACCUCAAGCACAAACUAAGGAAUCUAUUCAUUACAGGAAAAUAUUAGAAGACCUUGUUUAAA